RNAcentral lists this unclassified non-coding RNA (336 nucleotides) under soil metagenome. RNAcentral's name for it is "partial contains 5.8S ribosomal RNA, internal transcribed spacer 2, and large subunit ribosomal RNA". The stretch from base 1 to 120 matches the Rfam family "5.8S ribosomal RNA", at positions 35 to 154 of the family's 154-position model. The record is from RNAcentral.
GAUGAAGAACGCAGCGAAAUGCGAUACGUAGUGUGAAUUGCAGAAUUCAGUGAAUCAUCGAAUCUUUGAACGCACAUUGCACCUCUCGGUAUUCCGGGAGGUAUGCCUGUUCGAGCGUCAUUUGUACCCUCAAGCUCUGCUUGGUGUUGGGUGUUUGUCUCGCCUUUGCGUGUAGACUCGCCUUAAAAUAAUUGGCAGCCGGCGUAUUGAUUUCGGAGCGCAGUACAUCUCGCGCUUUGCACUCAUAACGACAGCGUCCAAAAGUACAUUUUACACUCUUGACCUCGGAUCAGGUAGGGAUACCCGCUGAACUUAAGCAUAUCAAUAAGCGGAGGA